CCCUUAGAUGUUCUGGGCCGCACGCGCGCUACACUGAUGCAUUCAACGAGUUAUUCUUUGACCUUGGUCGAAAGAUCUGGGUAAUCUUUUGAAAUUGCAUCGUGAUGGGGCUUGCGGGUUGCAAUUACCCGCACCAACGAGGAAUUCCUAGUAAACGCAAGUCAUCAGCUUGCAUUGAUUACGUCCCUGCCCUUUGUACACACCGCCCGUCGCUCCUACCGAUUGAAUGUUCCGGUGAACACUUUGGAAUAGUGCCUUUGUAUGGGGAAACUUGUACUUGGAUACUGUAAAGUUGUGUAAACCUUAACAUUUAGAGGAAGGAGAAGUCGUAACA
This 334-nucleotide ribosomal RNA is filed under the name uncultured eukaryote. RNAcentral describes it as "partial 18S ribosomal RNA". It matches the Rfam family "Eukaryotic small subunit ribosomal RNA", at positions 1470 to 1796 of the family's 1831-position model. The record is from RNAcentral.